AGUCCUAACUUUGCACAAACUACUUUCUCUUUCAUCUGUCUCCUGAGGAAUGGCAACCUUUCUAUGAAGAUUAAGAGAAUCUAGGUUUCUUGGUGGAGAAUCCUAUGAGAAAAGGAAAAGGGAACUAGUCAUCAAGAGUAGAGGAGUGGGGGGAUUUGUUGCUGUUUUUAAAGCAGAGGGCUCCCUGAGGCUGCCAACAGCUGUUGACAGUUGGGAUGGAAAGAUGGAGAGGAGGCCGGAACCAGGAGGCAAAGCGGUGAGUCUAGCAGGGGUCCUCAAACUCCCGCCGGGGGCCAGAUGCGGCAGCUGAGGACGAUUAUCCCCCUCACUCAGGGCUAUGAAGUUUCUUUAUUUAAAGGCCCACAAAACAAAGUUUUUGUGUUUACUAUAUAGUCCGGCCCUGCAACAGUCUGAGGGACAGUGAACUGGCCCCCUACUUUAAAAGUUUGAGGACCCCUGCAUAGAGCGCUGUCUUUUUAAGGCUCUCCGAGGUUUGCCUGUGCUCAUGAAGUGGGUGGGUGCAGCGGGCACUUCAGAGAACCGGUUGAGUAAAAGCGUCCUUCCCAACAAACGGAAAAAAGAUAUUGGGAAACAAGGGAGUUGGCAAACUAGGUCUAAAGUUACGGAGCACCGCCCAAGGAGGGACGCGGCGUGCUAUCGAAGGACCGGAAUCCUAAGCCCCGCCCACAGAGACAAACCCUCCUUCCGAUUGGCAGAGCACCGGGGGCCCCAGUCUUCUCUGUGGCGAUUGCUCAAAGUUCCGAAAGAAGGGUGGCUCCCUAAAGGAACUAGGGGAUUGUUAAAUUACUUCUCGAUUACUCUGGGAGGGCCUAAAGGCAGCGAAGCCUUUUCUGAGCGUCGCUCCUGUUUCCGCAGGUGGAGAAAAGGUUGUUAUGCUGGGACCUGUUUUGUGUGACUGUGUGCAUGUAUAAAUUUGGGAUCGGGCACAUUAAAUCAUGUAUAUAAAGUGCUUCAAAAGACA
Long non-coding RNA from Antechinus flavipes (yellow-footed antechinus), 982 nucleotides. RefSeq lists it as uncharacterized. The record is from RefSeq and is a predicted model, not a curated record. NCBI's taxonomy places the organism in Eukaryota, Metazoa, Chordata, Mammalia, Dasyuromorphia, Dasyuridae. The transcript is spliced from 2 exons.